CAGCCGUAAACUAUGCGCGUUAGGUGUACUGGUGACCACGAGUCACCGGGGUGCCGAAGGGAAACCGUGAAACGUGCCGCCUGGGAAGUACGGUCGCAAGGCUGAAACUUAAAGGAAUUGGCGGGGGGAGGCACCACAACGGGUGGAGCCUGCGGUUUAAUUGGACUCAACGCCGGAAUCUCACCGGAUAGGACAGACAUAUGAUAGUCGGGCUGAAGACUCUACUUGAUGAUCUGAGAGGUGGUGCAUGGCGUCAGU
Molecule: ribosomal RNA, 258 nt
Filed under: uncultured archaeon
Lineage: Archaea
Description: partial 16S ribosomal RNA
Rfam family: Archaeal small subunit ribosomal RNA
Source: RNAcentral